CCUACGGGAGGCAGCAGUGGGGAAUUUUCCGCAAUGGGCGAAAGCCUGACGGAGUGACGCCGCGUGGGGGAUGAAGGCCUUCGGGUUGUAAACCCCUGUCAGAGGGAAAGAAGGGUGUCGGUGUUAAUAGCGCCGGCAUCUGACGGUACCUUCAGAGGAAGCCCCGGCCAACUCUGUGCCAGCAGCCGCGGUAAGACAGAGGGGGCAAGCGUUGCUCGGAAUCACUGGGCGUAAAGAGCGCGUAGGCGGGAUGGCAAGUCGGUCGUGAAAUCCCUCGGCUCAACCGAGGAGCGUCGGCCGAUACUGCUGUUCUUGAGGGAUGCAGAGGAGACUGGAAUUCCCGGUGUAGCGGUGAAAUGUGUAGAGAUCGGGAGGAACACCGGUGGCGAAGGCGGGUCUCUGGGCAUCUCCUGACGCUGAGGCGCGAAAGCGUGGGGAGCAAACGGGAUUAGAUACCCCGGUAGUCCACGCGGUAAACGAUGACGACUAGGUGUGGGGAGGUUCAGUCCUUUCCGUGCCGCAGCUAACGCAUUAAGUCGUCCGCCUGGGGAGUACGGCCGCAAGGUUGAAACUCAAAGGAAUUGACGG
Molecule: ribosomal RNA, 588 nt
Filed under: uncultured bacterium
Lineage: Bacteria
Description: bacterial SSU rRNA
Rfam family: Bacterial small subunit ribosomal RNA
Source: RNAcentral